This 511-nucleotide long non-coding RNA is filed under the name Coturnix japonica (Japanese quail). RNAcentral describes it as "lncRNA (ENSCJPG00005000106.1)". The record is from RNAcentral. Lineage: Eukaryota; Metazoa; Chordata; Aves; Galliformes; Phasianidae.
CAGUAUUGAUACCAAAGUGCAGCCUUUGUCUGUGCAGUUGCUGUAUGACUGCUGGACUUUGUUUUUCCUGUAGCAGAGCGAUAGCAGGGAAGGCCAGCAAGGAGCAGCAGCAGCUGCAAGGGGUGCAAAGUUCUGGAGUGUGACAGAGCCUUGGCAGCAGCGGCUGGUGCUUGUUUUCCCUCACUUUUGGUGGAAAAGUGUGUCAAUGGAUGUCAAGCAAUAAUAAACUACUACAGACAGUGCAGACUCAGUACCAGUCUCAUCAUUGCACCACAAGCACAUCAGUCUGUCUUCUGCAUGACUCAAGAUAAUGAAAAAAAGACCCAAAGGUAUGUGGAAAGGAAGAAGGAGCUGAGCAACAACCACCAGAGACAUCAAAGGUGCCUAAGGAGGUUGUAAGUUGAGGAUGUAGCAAGUGCCACCCUAAAUAGCAGUAACAGCAGCUCUGUUUAUUCAAAAUAACUUGUCAGGAAAAAGCAAUACAAUAAAACAACCAGUGCCACCUGAGACA